Long non-coding RNA from Pongo pygmaeus (Bornean orangutan), 458 nucleotides. RefSeq lists it as uncharacterized. The record is from RefSeq and is a predicted model, not a curated record. NCBI's taxonomy places the organism in Eukaryota, Metazoa, Chordata, Mammalia, Primates, Hominidae. The transcript is spliced from 4 exons.
GAAGACUGGAGCUGAGCCUUCUGAGAGGGAGGCAGGGUUCUUCCCCGUGGACUUGAACCUGGAAGCAUUGAAGCCGGAACAACUAUCUCCAUUCUGUCAUCACCUGUGGGCUGAGAAGAUCUCAGAUCCAGGAGACCAUGAAAGCUGAGCGGAGAAUGGCAGAGAAAUCAGGCCGUGAAAUACUUCAGACAGACACAAUUUCUCCCGGCGACAGGGGAGGAAGCUGAGGCCUUGAGAAGCAUUCCAAGGAGGCCCCAGGCAUGGCACUUACAGGAGGUAUCCCAGACGCCGCCUUCCUCCUCCUCCUCCUCCUCAACUCCAUCCUUCCCAGGAGGAGACAGCCGACUUCAUGGCGUGAUGUUUGGGACCUGGAGGGCAUCCGGCCAACAGAGCUCUCCUGUGAGGCAGUCCUCCUCCCACAGACUGGCGUUUGGGUUUUGGAGAGGGAGACCACAGAG